This 305-nucleotide ribosomal RNA is filed under the name uncultured bacterium. RNAcentral describes it as "bacterial SSU rRNA". It matches the Rfam family "Bacterial small subunit ribosomal RNA", at positions 333 to 653 of the family's 1533-position model. The record is from RNAcentral.
UGAUGUCUACGGGAGGCAGCAGUGGGGGAUAUUGCACAAUGGGGGAAACCCUGAUGCAGCGACGCCGCGUGGGCGAAGAAGUAUUUCGGUAUGUAAAGCCCAAUCAGCAGGGAAGAAGAAAUGACGGUACCUGACUAAGAAGCCCCGGCUAACUACGUGCCAGCAGCCGCGGUAAUACGUAGGGGGCAAGCGUUAUCCGGAUUUACUGGGUGUAAAGGGAGCGUAGGCGGUUUAGCAAGUCAGAAGUGAAAGCCCGGGGCUCAACUCCGGGACUGCUUUUGAAACUGUUGAGCUAGAUUGCAGGG